RNAcentral lists this ribosomal RNA (917 nucleotides) under uncultured bacterium. RNAcentral describes it as "bacterial SSU rRNA". It matches the Rfam family "Bacterial small subunit ribosomal RNA", at positions 33 to 932 of the family's 1533-position model. The record is from RNAcentral.
ACGCUGGCGGCGUGCCUAAUACAUGCAAGUAGAACGCUGAAGCUUGGUGCUUGCACCGAGCGGAUGAGUUGCGAACGGGUGAGUAACGCGUAGGUAACCUGCCUCUUAGCGGGGGAUAACUAUUGGAAACGAUAGCUAAUACCGCAUAAAAGUCGACAUCGCAUGAUGUUGAUUUGAAAGGUGCAAAUGCAUCACUAAGAGAUGGACCUGCGUUGUAUUAGCUAGUUGGUGAGGUAACGGCUCACCAGGGCGACGAUACAUAGCCGACCUGAGAGGGUGAUCGGCCACACUGGGACUGAGACACGGCCCAGACUCCUACGGGAGGCAGCAGUAGGGAAUCUUCGGCAAUGGACGGAAGUCUGACCGAGCAACGCCGCGUGAGUGAAGAAGGUUUUCGGAUCGUAAAGCUCUGUUGUAAGGGAAGAACGAGUGUGAGAGUGGAAAGUUCACACUGUGACGGUAACUUACCAGAAAGGGACGGCUAACUACGUGCCAGCAGCCGCGGUAAUACGUAGGUCCCGAGCGUUAUCCGGAUUUAUUGGGCGUAAAGCGAGCGCAGGCGGUUAGAUAAGUCUGAAGUUAAAGGCUGUGGCUUAACCAUAGUACGCUUUGGAAACUGUUUAACUUGAGUGCAGAAGGGGAGAGUGGAAUUCCAUGUGUAGCGGUGAAAUGCGUAGAUAUAUGGAGGAACACCGGUGGCGAAAGCGGCUCUCUGGUCUGUAACUGACGCUGAGGCUCGAAAGCGUGGGGAGCAAACAGGAUUAGAUACCCUGGUAGUCCACGCCGUAAACGAUGAGUGCUAGGUGUUGGGUCCUUUCCGGGACUCAGUGCCGCAGCUAACGCAUUAAGCACUCCGCCUGGGGAGUACGACCGCAAGGUUGAAACUCAAAGGAAUUGACGGGGGCCCGCACAAGCGG